GGGCGAAUGGUUUAGUGGUAUAAUACUCCCUUAGCAUGUUCUCUCUGAGACUGUCACUGGGAGUGGUCCAGGGUUCGAUUCCCUGUUCGUCCA
This 93-nucleotide transfer RNA is filed under the name Fusarium torulosum. RNAcentral's name for it is "transfer RNA-Ala(AGC)". It matches the Rfam family "tRNA". Rfam says of the family: Transfer RNA (tRNA) molecules are approximately 80 nucleotides in length. Their secondary structure includes four short double-helical elements and three loops (D, anti-codon, and T loops). Lineage: Eukaryota; Fungi; Ascomycota; Sordariomycetes; Hypocreales; Nectriaceae. The record is from RNAcentral.